ACACACCGCCCGUCACUCUCCCCUAGUCUAAAGAAAUUUAUACUAACAAUAAAUAUCGCCAGCAAAGGGGAGGCAAGUCGUAACAUGGUAAGUGUACCGGAAGGUGUACUUGGAUAAAUCAAAAUAUAGCUAAAUAGAAAAGCAUCUCUUUUAC
RNAcentral lists this ribosomal RNA (154 nucleotides) under Betta hipposideros. RNAcentral's name for it is "partial 12S ribosomal RNA". The stretch from base 1 to 125 matches the Rfam family "Bacterial small subunit ribosomal RNA", at positions 1385 to 1533 of the family's 1533-position model. Lineage: Eukaryota; Metazoa; Chordata; Actinopteri; Anabantiformes; Osphronemidae. The record is from RNAcentral.